This 231-nucleotide ribosomal RNA is filed under the name uncultured soil bacterium. Its description in RNAcentral is "partial 16S ribosomal RNA". It matches the Rfam family "Bacterial small subunit ribosomal RNA", at positions 26 to 261 of the family's 1533-position model. The record is from RNAcentral.
AGAUUGAACGCUGGCGGCAUGCUUUACACAUGCAAGUCGAACGGUAACAGGCCGCAAGGUGCUGACGAGUGGCGAACGGGUGAGUAAUGCAUCGGAACGUGCCCAGUCGUGGGGGAUAACGCAGCGAAAGCUGUGCUAAUACCGCAUACGAUCUAUGGAUGAAAGCGGGGGACCGAAAGGCCUCGCGCGAUUGGAGCGGCCGAUGUCAGAUUAGCUAGUUGGUGGGGUAAA